GAUGAACGCUGGCGGCGUGCCUAAUACAUGCAAGUCGAGCGAACAGACGAGGAGCUUGCUCCUCUGACGUUAGCGGCGGACGGGUGAGUAACACGUGGAUAACCUACCUAUAAGACUGGGAUAACUUCGGGAAACCGGAGCUAAUACCGGAUAAUAUAUGGAACCGCAUGGUUCAAUAGUGAAAGACGGUUUUGCUGUCACUUAUAGAUGGAUCCGCGCCGCAUUAGCUAGUUGGUAAGGUAACGGCUUACCAAGGCGACGAUGCGUAGCCGACCUGAGAGGGUGAUCGGCCACACUGGAACUGAGACACGGUCCAGACUCCUACGGGAGGCAGCAGUAGGGAAUCUUCCGCAAAGGGCGAAAGCCUGACGGAGCAACGCCGCGUGAGUGAUGAAGGUCUUCGGAUCGUAAAACUCUGUUAUUAGGGAAGAACAAAUGUGUAAGUAACUAUGCACGUCUUGACGGUACCUAAUCAGAAAGCCACGGCUAACUACGUG
This 497-nucleotide ribosomal RNA is filed under the name uncultured bacterium. Its description in RNAcentral is "partial 16S ribosomal RNA". It matches the Rfam family "Bacterial small subunit ribosomal RNA", at positions 28 to 507 of the family's 1533-position model. The record is from RNAcentral.